Acanthosepion pharaonis is the source of this 100-nucleotide non-coding RNA. The record is from the annotation of a GenBank genome assembly. NCBI's taxonomy places the organism in Eukaryota, Metazoa, Mollusca, Cephalopoda, Sepiida, Sepiidae.
CGUUGAAACACCAGUUCCCAUACGAUCACCGAAGUUAAGCAACUUCGAGACUGUUCAUUACAUAAAUGGGUGAUCGCUUAGGAACACCAGGUGUUGUAAG